This 348-nucleotide unclassified non-coding RNA is filed under the name soil metagenome. Its description in RNAcentral is "partial contains 5.8S ribosomal RNA, internal transcribed spacer 2, and large subunit ribosomal RNA". The stretch from base 1 to 120 matches the Rfam family "5.8S ribosomal RNA", at positions 35 to 154 of the family's 154-position model. The record is from RNAcentral.
GAUGAAGAACGCAGCGAAAUGCGAUAAGUAAUGUGAAUUGCAGAAUUCAGUGAAUCAUCGAAUCUUUGAACGCACAUUGCGCCCGCCAGUAUUCUGGCGGGCAUGCCUGUCUGAGCGUCAUUUCAACCCUCAUGCCCCUAGGGCGUGGUGUUGGGGAUCGGCCAAAGCCCGCGAGGGACGGCCGGCCCCUAAAUCUAGUGGCGGACCCGUCGUGGCCUCCUCUGCGAAGUAGUGAUAUUCCGCAUCGGAGAGCGAUGAGCCCCUGCCGUUAAACCACCAACUUUCCAAGGUUGACCUCAGAUCAGGUAGGAAUACCCGCUGAACUUAAGCAUAUCAAUAAGCGGAGGA